GUACGAAUAGAAAAAAAAUUAUAGAGUAUUUAAUUUGCUAUUAUUUAAUUAGUUCUAAUCAGAUUUAACAGGUUCCUCGACCUCCAUAUAUUUAACAAGCUUUUACGCAUGCAUUGGAAUUUGCAAAUCACCCGGUUAACCUAAGGGCCUAUUCAUAUGGGCCCGGUUAAUUUUUCGUUCAUAUGCAUGACUAUUUUGAUCCCAUCUAAUAUCGCGCCUCGGUAGGACAGACUUGCGUGAACAUGCAUGACCUCUUCAGAAUAGCUUUUGUUGUAGUUGACCAAACUGCAUGUACAUUGCACUACAACUUUUAUUAGUGUCUGUUUAGGUCUUUUAAUGUUUACUUUUUUAUUCUAAUUUCUGCCCUUCAAUACAGUAACUUUAUAUAGGUCAAAGUCAGUAAAAAUGUCGAUCCCGGUUAGAUGAGAUGAAGGAAAAUUUUAUCCCACUUGACUGUCAUCACACCUGCCCGGCUAUAGGCGUGAGAUCCAUUGAACUAUAAGUAAACUAGAAGGCUGACACGGGGGGGGUCGGCUUCAAUCCCCCCCGUGCUUUGUAGGUAGUGCCAGUCCCUCUUUGCAAAUAUUUUUUGAAAAAUACACUUUUUAUAUCGAUAAAUUUUAGGCUUUUGAUCAGUUUCUUUUCUCACUUUCCUUUUUCAUUUUAGAC
Paramuricea clavata is the source of this 669-nucleotide non-coding RNA. The record is from the annotation of a GenBank genome assembly. Lineage: Eukaryota; Metazoa; Cnidaria; Anthozoa; Malacalcyonacea; Plexauridae.